UACGUGCAGGCGCCUGUUUUUAUGGUCCAUUUUAGAUCGAUCCUGGUGACUUGGACCACCCUAUAUAUAGAGUAUUGUAUCGGGCACAUAGGGUUUUGUCGAGGGGGGGGACCGCCCAUGUCAAAAUGGCAUAGAUGGGGGAGGGGGAGCGGGCAGGGAGAGGAGGUCCCAGCAAAACUGAGGAUUUGGGGCUAUGUGCUCGUAUUGUAUAUGCAAGUACAGUUGCUGGUGGUGUGAGCUGGAAUAUGCAAGCGGUGACCGGGCUGCGCAGACCACAUAGCCGCAGCAAGUGACUGGCCACAGCCUGGUCGUCACUCAUGCUUUCCUGCUUAUAUCGCUUGCUAAUGUAUGUAUCGAGGUCCUCGUUAGAUAAACUUUGUUUCGUGUUAGUACUGGAUACCAGAGCAGUUUGAGUGUUGCAUUAGAAGGAGGGGGCCAGUCAGGGCCAUGUCUUUUUCAAAGUGAUAUGGCUUGCAUGCUCUACUGGACGGUGUUGCACUGUACUCCGCAUAUUAUUCUUAGCACUGAACAGCAUCUCUGUUUGACACUAUGUGAAAUUGCAUGCUGUGCAUGUUUGCAUCUACCGAAGAGCUUAAGCUUCAAAUUCGGGCUCAGAUUAUGAGCCACGAACCAAGAAUACGGUGCCGAAUUUCUGUAUUAUUGAAGACGAGCGUAUUGGUGAAGGUUCAUAUCCACACACGAAAGGAUAAGAAACGGAAGGUGGACAGGGCCGAAAUAGGACCUCUGGAAAGAUAUCUUGGUUUGUUCUUGUCCACUGCGUUUUUUAUUCUUUCAUGUGUGCAUAUGAAAAUUUUGUACAUUACGAUUUAUACUGAAUUCCUGAAACGGCGAGCAUCUAGCGGCAUUUAUUAGUAAUAAAUACACCAAACCUUACUUAUAGCAUGUAAAGUACAAACCGUUAUAUCAUUAAAACAGCCUGCUGGGGUCCUUAACACAAAUCCAGUAACUUUACACUGCAGGGAUUUCCUUUCGUUUUAGGAGGAGGCUUCAUUGGAGACGGUGCGCACUGAAAACUGUGAAACCGCCCAAAGAGAGAGCUUGCCAGAUGAAACUUCUCCAGAUGACUCCUCUCCAGAUGUACCAUUGGUAGGCAUCGAGCCCUUUGAGCUGCCUUCGUGUUCAGACGACGAUGGGAACACCUUCAUUUUCCCCAAGCUUGGAGCUCUCCAUGAUACGAUCAUCUCUGGCAAACCUCUGACAUCUUCAUCAUUCCGAAAGAUUGUGGAGCUCCUCUUUCGUGCAAUGGUGAACAUAACAGUGUAAGUAAGGUGGUCUCAAAAUUCGGACUUAUUCCUAGCUUCAUCAUUUCCAGUUCCUUUCAUGGGUGACUUCUUUGUCGGCACCGGUCAACCUUUGUCUUGCUGUAUCUUUCUGUAUCCAGCUAAACCUAUGUGUGAUAUUUUUCAUUACAUGUUGGCAGAUAGCAUUGUUUAUGUCAAGGAAUGGCAUACAUUGUAUUUUUUUUUCGUUUGUCUUUUAGGGCACAAUAAAUGUUCAAUUUUACACAUUCUAAUU
This is an RNA transcript of Ixodes scapularis (black-legged tick), 1536 nucleotides long. RefSeq lists it as uncharacterized. The record is from RefSeq and is a predicted model, not a curated record. NCBI's taxonomy places the organism in Eukaryota, Metazoa, Arthropoda, Arachnida, Ixodida, Ixodidae. The transcript is spliced from 2 exons.